RNAcentral lists this ribosomal RNA (1333 nucleotides) under Salmonella enterica subsp. enterica serovar Newport str. SHSN003. Its description in RNAcentral is "bacterial LSU rRNA". It matches the Rfam family "Bacterial large subunit ribosomal RNA", at positions 1556 to 2865 of the family's 2925-position model. Lineage: Bacteria; Pseudomonadati; Pseudomonadota; Gammaproteobacteria; Enterobacterales; Enterobacteriaceae. The record is from RNAcentral.
CUGAGGCGUGACGACGAGGCACUACGGUGCUGAAGCAACAAAUGCCCUGCUUCCAGGAAAAGCCUCUAAGCAUCAGGUAACAUCAAAUCGUACCCCAAACCGACACAGGUGGUCAGGUAGAGAAUACCAAGGCGCUUGAGAGAACUCGGGUGAAGGAACUAGGCAAAAUGGUGCCGUAACUUCGGGAGAAGGCACGCUGACACGUAGGUGAAGUGAUUUACUCAUGGAGCUGAAGUCAGUCGAAGAUACCAGCUGGCUGCAACUGUUUAUUAAAAACACAGCACUGUGCAAACACGAAAGUGGACGUAUACGGUGUGACGCCUGCCCGGUGCCGGAAGGUUAAUUGAUGGGGUCAGCGCAAGCGAAGCUCCUGAUCGAAGCCCCGGUAAACGGCGGCCGUAACUAUAACGGUCCUAAGGUAGCGAAAUUCCUUGUCGGGUAAGUUCCGACCUGCACGAAUGGCGUAAUGAUGGCCAGGCUGUCUCCACCCGAGACUCAGUGAAAUUGAACUCGCUGUGAAGAUGCAGUGUACCCGCGGCAAGACGGAAAGACCCCGUGAACCUUUACUAUAGCUUGACACUGAACAUUGAGCCUUGAUGUGUAGGAUAGGUGGGAGGCUUUGAAGUGUGGACGCCAGUCUGCAUGGAGCCGACCUUGAAAUACCACCCUUUAAUGUUUGAUGUUCUAACGUGGACCCGUAAUCCGGGUUGCGGACAGUGUCUGGUGGGUAGUUUGACUGGGGCGGUCUCCUCCUAAAGAGUAACGGAGGAGCACGAAGGUUGGCUAAUCCUGGUCGGACAUCAGGAGGUUAGUGCAAUGGCAUAAGCCAGCUUGACUGCGAGCGUGACGGCGCGAGCAGGUGCGAAAGCAGGUCAUAGUGAUCCGGUGGUUCUGAAUGGAAGGGCCAUCGCUCAACGGAUAAAAGGUACUCCGGGGAUAACAGGCUGAUACCGCCCAAGAGUUCAUAUCGACGGCGGUGUUUGGCACCUCGAUGUCGGCUCAUCACAUCCUGGGGCUGAAGUAGGUCCCAAGGGUAUGGCUGUUCGCCAUUUAAAGUGGUACGCGAGCUGGGUUUAGAACGUCGUGAGACAGUUCGGUCCCUAUCUGCCGUGGGCGCUGGAGAACUGAGGGGGGCUGCUCCUAGUACGAGAGGACCGGAGUGGACGCAUCACUGGUGUUCGGGUUGUCAUGCCAAUGGCACUGCCCGGUAGCUAAAUGCGGAAGAGAUAAGUGCUGAAAGCAUCUAAGCACGAAACUUGCCCCGAGAUGAGUUCUCCCUGAGACUUUAAGUCUCCUGAAGGAACGUUGAAGACGACGACGUUGAUAGGCCGGG